RNAcentral lists this transfer RNA (76 nucleotides) under Pseudomonas phage K8. RNAcentral describes it as "tRNA-Gln". It matches the Rfam family "tRNA". Rfam says of the family: Transfer RNA (tRNA) molecules are approximately 80 nucleotides in length. Lineage: Duplodnaviria; Heunggongvirae; Uroviricota; Caudoviricetes; Vandenendeviridae. The record is from RNAcentral. RNAcentral also lists the same sequence under 1 other name.
UUGCCGCUUCGUUCAAUGGUAGGACGCCAGACUUUGAAUCUGGAGAUGAUGGUUCGAUCCCAUCAGUGGCUGCCAA